UAGGAUAUGUUCCUAAGAGUGGAAUUGCUGGAUCAUGUGGUAUUUCUAUUUCUAGCUUUUUAAGGAAGCAUCACAUCAUUUUCCAAAGUGGUUGUACCAUUUUACAUUCCCACCAGCAGUGCAUAAGAGUUUCAAUCUCCCUGCAACUGCUUCAACAUCUGUUAUUUGGUGUUUUUUGGAUUAUUGCCAGUAAUGUUGGUGUGUAGAUGGUCUCUCAUUGUAGUUUUGAUUUGCAUUUCUCUAAUGGCUAAUGAUGGCAAUCAUUUCCUCAUGUGACUUUUGGCCACUUGAAUGUCUUCUUUAGUAAAGUGUCUGUUCAUAUCCUUUGCCCAUCUUUUAAUUGGAUUAUUUGUCUUUUUGUUAUUGAGGUGUUGAAGUAUUUUGUAGAUUUUAGAUUAGACCCUUGUUGGAUAUGUUGUAGACAAAAAUUUAUUUCCCAGUCUGUAGGUUCUCUUUUUACUCAUUUGGUGAAUUCCUUUGAUGAGUGUAAGUGUUUAAUUUUUAGGAGCUCCCAGUUAUCUAGUUUCUUCUCUGGUGUUUGUGCAUCAUUAGUUAUGGUUUGUAUACUAUUUAUGCCAUGUAUUAGGACCCUAGUAUUGUCCCUAUUUUUUCUUCCAUGAUCUUUAUUGUUUUGGAUUUUAUAUUUAGGUCUUUGAUCUCUUUUGAGGUAGUUUUUGUGUACAGUGUGAGGUGUGGGUCUUGUUUCAUUUUUCACAGAUGGACAUCCAGUUAUGCCAGCACCACUUAUUAAAAGGAACUGUCAUUUCCCCACUUAACAGACUUUGGUCCUUUGUCAAAUAUCAACUGCUAGUAGAUGGAUGAAGUUACAUCUGGGUUCUCAAUUCUGUUCCAUUGGUCUCUGUGUCUGUUCUUAUACUACUACUAGGCUGUUUUGCCUACUAUGAUUAUAUAAUAGGUUCUAAAAUCAGGUAGUGUAAGGCCUCCCACUUUGUUCUUCUUAUUCAGUAAUGCUUUACUUUUCCGGGGUCUCUUCCCUUUCCAUGUGAAGUUGGUGAUUUGUUUCUCCAUCUCGUUAAAGAAUGCUGUUGGAAUUUGGAUCAGUAUUGCAUUGUAUCUGUAGAUCACUUUGGGUAGAGUAUACCUAUCCAUGGGCAUGAUAUGUUUUUCCACUUAUGCAGAUCUCUUUUGGUUUCUUACAGUAGUGUCUUGUAGUUUUCUUUGUAUAGGUCUUUUAUGUCCCUGGUUAGAUGUAUUCCUAAGUACUUUAUCUUCUUGGGGCCUAUUGUAAAUGGCAUUGAUUUGGUGAUCUCCUUUUCAGAGUUCUCUUUGUUGGUGUAGAAGAAUCCAACUGAUUUUUGUAUGUUCAUCUUGUAUCCUGCUACUCUGCUGAAAUGUUUUAUUAGUUCCAGUAGCUUUCUUGUGGAUUCUUUGGGAUUUUCUGAGUAUAAGAGCAUAUCAUCUGUGAAUAGGGAUAGUUUUACCUCUUCCUUACCAAUUUGGAUGCACUUUAUUUCUCUUGCCUUAUUUCUCUAGCUAAGACUUGCAGCACAAUGUUGAAAAGGGCAGUGAUAAAGGGGAACCUUGUCUGGUUUCUGUUGUCAGAGGGAAUGCUUUCAGCCUGUCUCCAUUUAGGGUGAUGUUGGCUGUUGGUUUUGUGUAAAUGCCCUUUAUUAUGUUGAGGAAUUCCCCUUCUAUUCCUAUUUUGCUGAGAGUUUUUUUUAUCAGGAAUGAAUGUUGGACUUUGUCAAAUGCUUUUUCUGCAUAGAUUGAUAUGAUCAUGUGAUUUUUUCUUUUGUCUUACUUAUGUGGUGGAUUAUGUUGUUUGACUUUCUAAUGUUGAACCAUUCCUGCAUACCUGGUAUGAGUUCCACUUGAUCAUGAUGUAUUAUUUUUUUUUUUUGAUAUGCUAUUGAAUUCUACUGGCUAGAAUUGUUUUGAGAAUUUUUGUGUCUGUGUUGAUGAUGCAUGUGACAAGUGGACAAUGAAUAAAGAAGACCAAAGAAGAACUGAUGCCUUUGGAUGAUGGUGUUGGUGAAGAAUAAUGAAUAUACCAUGGACUUCCAGAAGAACGAACAGCUCUGUCUUGGAAGAAGUACAGCCAGAAUGCUCCUUGAAAGUGGUGUAGUUAACGUGCUCGGCAGCUAAACAAAAUGUUGGCAGUUGAAGUCCACCCACAGGCACCUCGGAAGAAGGACCUGGUGAUCUACUUCCAAAACAUCAGUCACCGAAAACCCUACAGAGCACAGUUCCACUCUGAUGUACCUGAAGUUGCUAGAUGGGUCCAACUUCUCAUGAUCCCAUCCAAUAUUGGGGAUGGUGACAAGAAGUGGCAGCACCCAGAAGGCUCAGUGGAUGGCAGUGUAGCCCGUCAUAACAUCCCCAGAAGGAAGGGAAGGUCAUCGGCUGAGUCACAAGCCCUUCAGGCGAGCACGAGCAGCGCACGUAUUGGCAGCACAAACCAUCUCUGUUAGUUGUUUCCGGCUGCAAGUAACAAAUCCUACUGAACUUGGCUUAACCGAUAAGGAAAUACAUUUUAUCAUAUAUCAAGAAAACUAGAAGUAGGAGUACUCCAAAGACCGAACAAUCCAUGCUCAGCAACAUCAUCAGGAAAUCGAGUUUUCCCAUAUUUCCCGUCUGUCAUCCUCAGUGUUGCAGCGUUUUCCUCUUCAGGUGGCAACAAGGCUGUAGCCAUUUCAGAUACGGCAUCCAGAUAUAACAAUGGAUAGCAGAAAAGGAGCACGUCUCUUCCAGUGUGGCCCCCUUUGCAGUAAGAAAAUCUUUUCCUGCAGCCCCCAGCAGUGAGCUCCUCACCCACGGCCAGAACUGGACCACAAGCCCCUGAUUAAGCCAUUCGCUCACAAGGCGGGUGGAGCCACAUGACUGACUACUCCUACCAGGCUCUACUUCCGGGACUGGGGCUGGAGAUGGCUCGCCCGAGGCAUGUGCCUGUCUGGAGUGGGUUGGAUAGCUAAACAUCAUUUAAGGUCUGGUGUAGUGGUUAAGAGUUACGGCUGCUAACCAUAAAGGUCAUCAGUUCGAAUCCACCAGCUGCUCCUUGGGAACCAUUUGGGGUAGUUCUACUCUAUCCUAUAGGGUCACUAUGAGUCAGAAUAGACUCAAUGGCAAUGGGUUUGAUUUUGUUUUUUGGGUUUUUUUUUUUUUUUUUGG
Loxodonta africana (African savanna elephant) is the source of this 3129-nucleotide long non-coding RNA. RefSeq lists it as uncharacterized. Lineage: Eukaryota; Metazoa; Chordata; Mammalia; Proboscidea; Elephantidae. The record is from RefSeq and is a predicted model, not a curated record. The transcript has 3 exons.